UCCAAUCUUCGAGAUGCUCCAGUAAGAGUC
Molecule: non-coding RNA, 30 nt
Filed under: Rattus norvegicus (Norway rat)
Lineage: Eukaryota; Metazoa; Chordata; Mammalia; Rodentia; Muridae
Source: RNAcentral